RNAcentral lists this long non-coding RNA (229 nucleotides) under Panax ginseng (ginseng). RNAcentral's name for it is "long non-coding RNA (PGIN_LNC014476)". Lineage: Eukaryota; Viridiplantae; Streptophyta; Magnoliopsida; Apiales; Araliaceae. The record is from RNAcentral.
AAGUCUAUAAAGUUGUGCUUAAUUUUAUGCUGCGAACUCCUACUAACAUUCCCUUACUCCUUACUUAACUCUCUACUCUUCUUAGAACUCCUACUUAAGGAAAUAACCUUACAUCUUGGUUUAUAGAAUGCCUCAUAUAAUAACAUGCUACAAAAAGAGUGCCGGCAUAAUGGAGGCGGAGGAGGAGGCGGUCAUAAUGGAAGCGGCAGAGGAAGGCGACAAUAAUACU